Molecule: non-coding RNA, 775 nt
Filed under: Colias erate (eastern pale clouded yellow)
Lineage: Eukaryota; Metazoa; Arthropoda; Insecta; Lepidoptera; Pieridae
Source: RNAcentral
UAAAAAUUUUUAUGGUUUAAAAAAUUUAUUUUAAAUUUAUUUUACAUAUAAAUUUUAGUGUUGAUUUUAAUUAUUUUGAAAAUAAUUAAUUUAUUUAUGUAGUAAUUAAUAUUAAAAAUUUAAGUAAUUAAGAUUUAGUAAUAUAAAAAUUAAUAACAAAUUUUGUGCCAGCAGUUGCGGUUACACAAAAAUUAAAAUAAAUUUUUUUAGGAAAUAAUAAAUAGUUAUGAAAUUUAAUAAUUUAAAUUUUAAUUUAUUAGGUGAAAUUUUAAUUUAAUUAAAGAUUAUUUUUAUGAAAUUAGUAAAUUUUAAUUAUAAACUAGGAUUAGAUACCCUAUUAUUAAAAAAUUAAUAGUUAUAAUACUAAAAUAUUAGAUUUUUAUUGAAACUUAAAUAAUUUGGCGGUAUUUUAGUUCAUUUAGAGGAAUCUGUCUAAUAAUUGAUAAUCCACGAAUAAAUUUACUUAAUUUAUUAUUUUGUAUAUCGUUGUUAAAAAAAUAUUUUUAGAUAAUAAAUAAUAUUUUAAAAUUUAAAUAUAAAAUUAAAUCAAAUCAAGAUGCAGAUUAUAAUUAAGAAUAUGAUGGAUUACAAUAAAUUUAUUUAAGAGGAAAGUGAUAUGUAAAAUCACUUGAAAAUGGAUUUAAAUGUAAUUUUUUUUUUUAGUUUAUAAAAAUGAUUUAUAAUUAAAAUAUGUACAUAUUGCCCGUCGCUUUCAUUUUAAAAUUGAAAUAAGUCGUAACAAAGUAGAGGUACUGGAAAGUGUUUCUAGAAAGAA